This 392-nucleotide long non-coding RNA is filed under the name Malus domestica (apple). RNAcentral's name for it is "long non-coding RNA (MDOM_LNC014319)". The record is from RNAcentral. Lineage: Eukaryota; Viridiplantae; Streptophyta; Magnoliopsida; Rosales; Rosaceae.
AGUCCCAUCAGAAGCUGAUGUGGUGCAACGCACAUAAUAUGUCCUUUUUCCCUUUAUAUUCAUGAUAGAAAUAUAAUUGGAAGGUGCUACGUCCAUAGUACGGACCGUACCCUUUCUUUUGAAAAGGAGACAACCGUCAUGUGGGAGCCAUUUAUUGCGUUUUGCUGUUUAGAUUUUAGAAUCCAAACCCUCUCCUCUUCUUUUUUUUUUUUUGGUGAGAAUUCGUAAAUUCUGUUUAUUCAUCAUGUAUUGUGUGUUUCAUCUUGUAUUCUUGAAUUAUGACAAAGAAGAUCAAGAGAGGAUUUUGUUGGUAAAUUUUUAUGCCUUUCGGCCAAACGGGCACGUGCCACGUUUCUGGUGGAUCCCUUAUCUGUCAGCCACCCAUUGCAACC